This 116-nucleotide ribosomal RNA is filed under the name Microcebus murinus (gray mouse lemur). Lineage: Eukaryota; Metazoa; Chordata; Mammalia; Primates; Cheirogaleidae. The record is from RNAcentral.
GUCUAUAGCCAUAUCACUCUGAACUCACCCAAUCUCGGAACUCACCUGAUCUUGGAAGCUAAGCAGGGACGGGCCUGGUUACUACUUGGAUGGGAGAAUAAUGGAAUCUAUCAUGU